CAAAAAACACCCCGCAAAAAACCGCUCCUAUCGAUCCGUCGAGGACACAGAGCCGCCGAUCCGCUCCUCCCCGAUGCCGAUCCGGGCAGACGCGCCCGUCGUGGAUCACGAGCGCCCGUCGCGGAUCAGGAUCCUCAGGACGCCGCCGCCGCCGCGGAUCCACUGCCACGCACAGCUCGGGCCCGAGCCGCGAUGGGCUCGGCUAUGGCCGCUGCCGCGUGCGCCCUUCGUCUCCAGGCUCGGCGAGCCCCACCGCCAGCCACCCCCAACCCACAUCGGCGUCAAGCUAUCUCCUUGGUGCUGUUGUCCUCGAUAGGCUAAUGACUCGAGGCAUGCUGCUAGCACAAUUACAGAAGGCCAUACAGUCAGCGGCAAAGUGCUCGCCGUUGCUAAUGAUUGACUGCUGAGGAUCUCCAUUCGGGGAUUUAGCUACCUGCUCAAAUAAGAUGGUCAAUAGCUGUUCCUGUGAUCCAUUCUAUGGAUGAAGAAGGAGAAGACGAGGGAACACAAUAAUUUCUGUGUCAUAUUAUUUGUUUCUGAUGUGGCUACUCUGGAAUACAAUUUAUGGGCGAGAGAUCAGACUUUCAGUAGGACCUUAUGCUCUUUUAACUGAAAAACUGGGAGCACUAGCAGUUCUUCACAAGGAAAGUGGAUUGGACAAUGCCGCUAGCUCGGAUGGCGCCCCGUAUGGAUGUCGAUCGUGGGCGACGUGAGGAGGGACAAGGUAGAGAAAGGGGGUCAGGUUGGCGCCGCUGUAGAGGUGAGCAAGGGGGCCGGGGUUGCGUCGCCGCCGAGAUGCACGAGGGGAUCGGAGCUGCGCCAAGCAGAUUCAUCAGAGCACUUCGCUCUUGCUGCCUUUGGCCUGAUGCUUAGAUGGAUUGAUGCAUUUGUCGGGUCAGGGAUCCUUCAGUUUUGUUGGAUCAGGAAGUAAGAGCACCGGGACUUCAAGGACGAUGGAGAUUGUCGAAGGCUAAGUUGCAGAGUGCAUGGGCAGCAGUACCAGAGCAAGAACCUCGCGCGUGACGGAGCUGCUGUGGUAGAGAAGCAAAACUCAACGACUAACUCUACAAGCUCUGGUCGCUUUCUUAAACAUCACUAACGUAAUCAUAUCUCACUCCAUUAUGCAAAUCUUAUUUCUGUUUUUUUGAUUCCAUUUCAGUACUUGUACCUUUUUACAAUGCAUUUAGUGCAUAUGAAUGAAGUAUAUUGAUUUAUCUUCUACCUAUGGUUUUCUUUGCUUUAUUGGUGCUCAACGUUUUUGACAUGUUGGCAUGCAUAUUACUAAAUUUGGUCAAGCAACCCGCCAACAGAUACAAAGAAGGGUUAUAUGUCUUCUGAUCAUCUUGAUGGCAUAUAUGAGGACCUGCAAUACUGAACCUGGAAGUUAGUCAUUGAGGCAAUGGUCAUGGUAGUGAUAUCUACUGCCAGAACAUAAACGUUUGGCCCUCCUUGUUGCCACGAAGGAUUAUGAUCAACUGGACUUGCAGAACUAGUUAAUGGCAUGAUGCUGGCAGUAGUAAUGGAGGGUUGUGAUUUCUGGAUGGAAUAGGACGGAUUGGCUUCCUCUUCUCAUGAAACACACUGACACAAAGUUUCUGGUUUCUGACGUACAAGGAUUAUGUACUAUGAACAAAUAUUGCAAUGUUCAUUAGUAGUACUGUUUGUUGAAGCGAUGCCUCUGCCACAGUCCGUUAUUGUUGUUAUCUUCUUGGGAAUACUUGAGAAGGCGCGACGAGGAAGGUGGGGACACGCCAUGGCAGAGGCCAGUGCAGAACCUACAUGUAAGCCGUGGGGUCAGGGUAUUCUUGCUGGCACAACCGCUGGUAGAGGCGCGUGGUUGACAGGAGGAGCCGCGGAGGCAUGACGGUGGACAUGUGGAUGUUAUCGUGGCAUUGACACAUUUCGCUCUACCAACACUGCAUACAAACGUGACUGAAUGUUAUCGUGGCUUAGAUGCCCUAUCAAAUUCUUGCUUGACUUCUUGGUUUUGUAUGCUUGGAUGUAUGUUUCAGUUCCUACAUGGUAUUUCUCAUGUGGAGUUGAAACCACAUUUGGUUGGUCCAAUAGCAAAUAAUCAUAUGUUUCACUCUGAAA
Molecule: long non-coding RNA, 2094 nt
Organism: Triticum aestivum (bread wheat)
Lineage: Eukaryota; Viridiplantae; Streptophyta; Magnoliopsida; Poales; Poaceae
Exons: 9
Source: RefSeq, a predicted model, not a curated record